RNAcentral lists this long non-coding RNA (739 nucleotides) under Bos taurus (domestic cattle). RNAcentral describes it as "long non-coding RNA NONBTAT023198". The record is from RNAcentral. Lineage: Eukaryota; Metazoa; Chordata; Mammalia; Artiodactyla; Bovidae.
CAAGAUUCUGGAUGAUCUGUUUGCAGCUUAUUUGCUUAUGCAUCCCUAUUUGAAAAUUGCUCUUGCUGAAAUUAUUUCCUAAGUAUAUGUAGACAAACUCAUCUCUGAGCCACUGUGGUUAAAGUGCUCUAUAAAUGUAAGAUGGUAAUAUGCCAUUUUUCUCCCCUCAUUUCUACUUUUUACUUUGUCCAAAUUCUGAUUUCCCUUUAAGAUGCAACUCUUCUCUUUUUCAUGAGAUUUUCCAUGACCGUUUUAAGCAUUUUGAGAUGAUUUUCCCCUCUGUGACCCUAAGCACUCAUAUAUAGGCUUUUGGCAUUUCCUGCAUUGUUGAGUCAUUAAUUUGUUGGCAGAGAUUUUUGCCUCAUAUAUAUUUUUUAUCUCCCACAGGACCUGUGUGGAAAUAAAAAGGAAUGAGCAUAGCCUCAUUAGUCUUGGCUAUUUUGAAGAACUAUUGUGAAAUAUUCACUGGGUGAUUAGUGAAUAUUUUUAGAAAUAAAAUCAAUCUGUUCAUCCUGUUCACUCUGUCCAUGUAGCCUUUAUAAUUCUGUAGAUUUUGUUUAUGUAAUCUCUAAGCUUUGGUUGUUACAGGUUGAAGAAGUCCUCAGCUUUUUAGUUUAUUCUCAUGGUAUUACUUCACCCUGGUGUGUGUUAUUCUGAAGAUUAUGGUUAUCAGCAUCUCUAAUCUCAUGCACCAGUCCAGCUAAAGAUAGUGUUAGUUUUUUUCUGAUAAAUUUUGGCU